Molecule: transfer RNA, 73 nt
Organism: Felis catus (domestic cat)
Lineage: Eukaryota; Metazoa; Chordata; Mammalia; Carnivora; Felidae
Rfam family: tRNA
About the family: Transfer RNA (tRNA) molecules are approximately 80 nucleotides in length. Their secondary structure includes four short double-helical elements and three loops (D, anti-codon, and T loops).
Source: Rfam
GCCUGACUGGCUCAGUUGGUGGAGCCUGUGACUCUUGAUUUCGGGGUUGUGAGUUCAAGCCCCAUGUUGGGUG